GAUGAACGCUGGCGGCGUGCCUAAUACAUGCAAGUCGAGCGAACAGAUGCGGAGCUUGCUCCUCUGACGUUAGCGGCGGACGGGUGAGUAACACGUGGAUAACCUACCUAUAAGACUGGGAUAACUUCGGGAAACCGGAGCUAAUACCGGAUAAGAUAUUGAACCGCAGGGUUCAAUAGUGAAAGACGGUUUUGCUGUCACUUAUAGAUGGAUCCGCGCCGCAUUAGCUAGUUGGUAAGGUAAAGGCUUACCAAGGCAACGAUGCGUAGCCGACCUGAGAGGGUGAUCGGCCACACGGGAGCUGAGCCACGGUCCAGGCGCCUACGGGAGGCAGCAGUAGGGAAUCGGCCGCAAUGGGCGAAAACCUGACGGAGCAACGCGGCGCCAGUGAUGACGGUGUUCGGUGCGGAAAGCUCUGUUAUUAGGGAAGAACAACUGUGUAAGUAACUGUGCACUUCUUGACGGUACCUGAUCAGAAAGCACCGGCUAACUACGUG
Molecule: ribosomal RNA, 497 nt
Filed under: uncultured bacterium
Lineage: Bacteria
Description: partial 16S ribosomal RNA
Rfam family: Bacterial small subunit ribosomal RNA
Source: RNAcentral